RNAcentral lists this ribosomal RNA (821 nucleotides) under Paenibacillus sp. EKM205P. Its description in RNAcentral is "bacterial SSU rRNA". It matches the Rfam family "Bacterial small subunit ribosomal RNA", at positions 1 to 815 of the family's 1533-position model. Lineage: Bacteria; Bacillati; Bacillota; Bacilli; Caryophanales; Paenibacillaceae. The record is from RNAcentral.
UUUUUUGAGAGUUUGAUCCUAGCUCAGGAUGAACGCUCGCUGUGUGCCUAAUACAUGCAUGUUGAACGGGAUGUAGCAAUACAUUCAGUAGCGAAUGGGUGAGUAACACGUACCUAACCUACCUUUAAGACUGGGAUAACUAUUGGAAACAAUAGCUAAUACCGGAUAUAGUUAUUUAUCGCAUGAUGAGUAAUAGAAAGGAGCUUCACAGCUUCACUUAAAAAUGGGGGUGCGGAACAUUAGUUAGUUGGUAGGGUAAUGGCCUACCAAGACGAUGAUGUUUAGCCGGGCCGAGAGGCUGUACGGCCACACUGGGACUGAGAUACGGCCCAGACUCCUACGGGAGGCAGCAGUAAGGAAUUUUCCACAAUGAGCGAAAGCUUGAUGGAGCGACACAGCGUGCAGGAUGAAGUUCUUCGGAAUGUAAACUGCUGUUAUAAGGGAAGAAAAAAUAGAAUAGGAAAUGAUUUUAUCUUGACGGUACCUUAUUAGAAAGCGACGGCAAACUAUGUGCCAGCAGCCGCGGUAAUACAUAGGUCGCAAGCGUUAUCCGGAAUUAUUGGGCGUAAAGCGUCCGUAGGUUUUUUGCUAAGUCUGGAGUUAAAUGCUGAAGCUCAACUUCAGUCCGCUUUGGAUACUGGCAAAAUAGAAUUAUAAAGAGGUUAGCGGAAUUCCUAGUGAAGCGGUGGAAUGCGUAGAUAUUAGGAAGAACACCAAUAGGCGAAGGCAGCUAACUGGUUAUAUAUUGACACUAAGGGACGAAAGCGUGGGGAGCAAACAGGAUUAGAUACCCUGGUAGUCCACGCCGUAAACGAUGAUCA